Molecule: ribosomal RNA, 465 nt
Filed under: Vreelandella stevensii
Lineage: Bacteria; Pseudomonadati; Pseudomonadota; Gammaproteobacteria; Oceanospirillales; Halomonadaceae
Description: partial 16S ribosomal RNA
Rfam family: Bacterial small subunit ribosomal RNA
Source: RNAcentral
CCUACGGGGCGCAGCAGUGGGGAAUAUUGGACAAUGGGCGAAAGCCUGAUCCAGCCAUGCCGCGUGUGUGAAGAAGGCCUUCGGGUUGUAAAGCACUUUCAGUGGGGAAGAAAGCCUUGGGGCUAAUACCCUCGAGGAAGGACAUCACCCACAGAAGAAGCACCGGCUAACUCCGUGCCAGCAGCCGCGGUAAUACGGAGGGUGCGAGCGUUAAUCGGAAUUACUGGGCGUAAAGCGCGCGUAGGCGGUCUGAUAAGCCGGUUGUGAAAGCCCCGGGCUCAACCUGGGAACGGCAUCCGGAACUGUCAGGCUAGAGUGCAGGAGAGGAAGGUAGAAUUCCCGGUGUAGAGGUGAAAUGCGUAGAGAUCGGGAGGAAUACCAGUGGCGAAGGCGGCCUUCUGGACUGACACUGACGCUGAGGUGCGAAAGCGUGGGUAGCAAACAGGAUUAGAUACCCCAGUAGUC